GGGGACGACCGGUUUUGACGGCGUGAGUGGUUGCGAGUAUAAGCAUGUCGGGAGUUGGUAGAACCUCCUGUUAAAAAUUCUUCCAAACAACAACUGGCAAUACUUCGUAUGCCAUGGCUGCUUAAUUCCGGAGUGAAUUAAACAUUAGCCACAUCCCGCCUUGGCUAACCUUUGCUGCUGGGGAGUUCGGGGUGUCGCCCCGCAAAGGCGAUUAUGAGUGGGGAACUUAUUCAUAAUUAGUAUAUAGGUUUCUAAGGUGAUAUUAAGGUCUGAUGCUAACCUACUAUUGCUCGAAAAUAAAUAGCAGCUAAGCAUGUAGAAGGUUCGACAAUUGCCAAGUUCGGACCAGGGUUCGAGUCCCUGCGUCUCCAC
This 372-nucleotide transfer-messenger RNA is filed under the name Emticicia aquatica. RNAcentral describes it as "transfer-messenger RNA, SsrA". It matches the Rfam family "transfer-messenger RNA". Rfam says of the family: Bacterial tmRNA, also known as 10Sa RNA or SsrA, is named for its dual tRNA and mRNA-like properties. Its role is to liberate the mRNA from a stalled ribosome. Lineage: Bacteria; Pseudomonadati; Bacteroidota; Cytophagia; Cytophagales; Leadbetterellaceae. The record is from RNAcentral.